This 483-nucleotide ribosomal RNA is filed under the name uncultured bacterium. RNAcentral's name for it is "bacterial SSU rRNA". It matches the Rfam family "Bacterial small subunit ribosomal RNA", at positions 31 to 507 of the family's 1533-position model. The record is from RNAcentral.
GAACGCUGGCGGCAUGCCUUACAACAUAGCAAAGUCGAACGGCAGCACGGAGCAAUCCUGGUGGCGAGUGGCGAACGGGUGAGUAAUAUAUCGGGAACGUGCCCAGUCGUGGGGAUAACGUAGCGAAAGCUACGCUAAUACCGCAUACGAUCUAUGGAUGAAAGCGGGGGAUCGCAAGACCUCGCGCGAUUGGAGCGGCCGAUAUCAGAUUAGGUAGUUGGUGAGGUAAAGGCUCACCAAGCCGACGAUCUGUAGCUGGUCUGAGAGGACGACCAGCCACACUGGGACUGAGACACGGCCCAGACUCCCACGGGAGGCAGCAGUGGGGAAUUUUGGACAAUGGGCGCAAGCCUGAUCCAGCAAUGCCGCGUGCAGGAUGAAGGCCUUCGGGUUGUAAACUGCUUUUGUACGGAACGAAACGGUGAGCUCUAAUACAGUUUGCUAAUGACGGUACCGUAAGAAUAAGCACCGGCUAACUACGUG